UACCUGGUUGAUUCUGCCAGUAGUCAUAUGCUUGUCUCAAAGAUUAAGCCAUGCAUGUCUAAGUAUAAGCAAUUAUACAGCGAAACUGCGAAUGGCUCAUUAUAUAAGUUAUCGUUUAUUUGAUAGUACCUUACUACAUGGAUAACCGUGGUAAUUCUAGAGCUAAUACAUGCUAAAAACCCCGACUCACGAAGGGGUGUAUUUAUUAGAUUAAAAACCAAUGCCCUUCGGGGCUCACUGGUGAUUCAUAAUAACUUCUCGAAUCGCAUGGCCUUGCGCCGGCGAUGGUUCAUUCAAAUUUCUUCCCUAUCAACUUUCGAUGCUAGAGUAGUGUUCUAGCAUGGUUACAACGGGUAACGGAGGGUUAGGGCUCGACCCCGGAGAAGGAGCCUGAGAAACGGCUACUACAUCCAAGGAAGGCAGCAGGCGCGCAAAUUACCCAAUCCCGACACGGGGAGGUAGUGACGAUAAAUACUGAUACAGGGCUCUUUUGGGUCUUGUAAUUGGAAUGAGUACAAUUUAAAUCCCUUAACGAGGAACAAUUGGAGGGCAAGUCUGGUGCCAGCAGCCGCGGUAAUUCCAGCUCCAAUAGCGUAUAUUAAAGUUGUUGUGGUUAAAAAGCUCGUAGUAGAACCUUGGGCCUGGCUGGCCGGUCCGCCUCACCGCGUGCACUGGUCCGGCCGGGCCUUUCCCUCUGCGGAACCGCAUGCCCUUCACUGGGUGUGCCGGGGAAGCAGGACUUUUACUUUGAAAAAAUUAGAGUGCUCCAGGCAGGCCUAUGCUCGAAUACAUUAGCAUGGAAUAAUAGAAUAGGACGUGUGGUUCUAUUUUGUUGGUUUCUAGGACCGCCGUAAUGAUUAAUAGGGACAGUCGGGGGCAUCAGUAUUCAAUUGUCAGAGGUGAAAUUCUUGGAUUUAUUGAAGACUAACUACUGCGAAAGCAUUUGCCAAGGAUGUUUUCAUUUAUCAGGAACGAAAGUUAGGGGAUCGAAGACGAUCAGAUACCGUCGUAGUCUUAACCAUAAACUAUGCCGACUAGGGAUCGGACGAUGUUAUUUUUUGACUCGUUCGGCACCUUACGAGAAAUCAAAGUGCUUGGGCUCCAGGGGGAGUAUGGUCGCAAGGCUGAAACUUAAAGAAAUUGACGGAAGGGCACCACCAGGGGUGGAGCCUGCGGCUUAAUUUGACUCAACACGGGGAAACUCACCAGGUCCAGACACAAUGAGGAUUGACAGAUUGAGAGCUCUUUCUUGAUUUUGUGGGUGGUGGUGCAUGGCGUUCUUAGUUGGUGGAGUGAUUUGUCUGCUUAAUUGCGAUAACGAACGAGACCUUGACCUGCUAAAUAGCCCGUAUUGCUUUGGCAGUACGCCGGCUUCUUAGAGGGACUAUCGGCUCAAGCCGAUGGAAGUGCGAGGCAAUAACAGGUCUGUGAUGCCCUUAGAUGUUCUGGGCCGCACGCGCGUUACACUGACGGAGCCAGCGAGUACUCCCUUGGCCGGAAGGCCCGGGUAAUCUUGUUAAACUCCGUCGUGCUGGGAUAGAGCAUUGCAAUUAUUGCUCUUCACGAGGAAUCCCUAGUAAGCGCAAGUCAUCAGCUUGCGUUGAUUACGUCCCUGCCCUUUGUACACACCGCCCGUCGCUACUACCGAUUGAAUGGCUCAGUGAGGCUUUCGGACUGGCCCAGAGAGGUGGGCAACUACCACUCAGGGCCGGAAAGUUAUCCAAACUCGGUCAUUUAGAGGAAGUAAAAGUCGUAACAAGGUCUCCGUUGGUGACCAGCGGAGGGAUCAUUA
This is a ribosomal RNA of 1792 nucleotides. It matches the Rfam family "Eukaryotic small subunit ribosomal RNA". The record is from Rfam.